AAUCAACGCUGGCGGCGUGCCUAACACAUGCAAGUCGAGCGCGAAAGGGAGUAAUCCCCAAGUAGAGCGGCGAACGGGUGAGUAACGCGUGGGUGAUCUACCUCCGAGUGGGGAAUAACCCGGGAACUGGGGCUAAUACCGCAUGACAUCCCUGAGUCACAUCGGGGAUCAAAGCCGGGGACCGCAAGGCCUGGCGUUUGGAGGAUGAGCCCGCGUCCGAUUAGCUAGUUGGCGGGGAACG
This 241-nucleotide ribosomal RNA is filed under the name uncultured bacterium. RNAcentral's name for it is "partial 16S ribosomal RNA". It matches the Rfam family "Bacterial small subunit ribosomal RNA", at positions 32 to 261 of the family's 1533-position model. The record is from RNAcentral.